CGUGCCAUCUGUCCUCUGCAAGCUUGGCAAGUACUUCUAUCUGUGACUUGGGGGAGACUUAGGGUGUCCAUUACUGACGCAUCUCCCUUUUCUAGGACUAGCAUUUUAUUUUUUUAUUUUGCAGCGAGCUAGCACUAGCACUAGAGGCUUUUCAAAGAAACAACGCAAAUGCCUUGCGUACGACAUAUCGCGUACGAUAUGCGUACGACCAGACUCACAAGUUACUGCAUGGUGAUGUUCCCACUGACUGACAGCAGGUUGAUCAGAGUCUAAUCGUAUCAAAAUGUUGUACAAAUUUAAUCGUACGUAUAGCAUGGCUGAA
RNAcentral lists this long non-coding RNA (322 nucleotides) under Brachypodium distachyon (stiff brome). RNAcentral describes it as "long non-coding RNA (BDIS_LNC000144)". The record is from RNAcentral. Lineage: Eukaryota; Viridiplantae; Streptophyta; Magnoliopsida; Poales; Poaceae.